Small nuclear RNA from Medicago truncatula (barrel medic), 196 nucleotides. It matches the Rfam family "U2 spliceosomal RNA". Rfam says of the family: U2 is a small nuclear RNA (snRNA) component of the spliceosome (involved in pre-mRNA splicing). Complementary binding between U2 snRNA (in an area lying towards the 5' end but 3' to hairpin I) and the branchpoint sequence (BPS) of the intron results the bulging out of an unpaired adenosine, on the BPS, which initiates a nucleophilic attack at the intronic 5' splice site, thus starting the first of two transesterification reactions that mediate splicing. The record is from Rfam. NCBI's taxonomy places the organism in Eukaryota, Viridiplantae, Streptophyta, Magnoliopsida, Fabales, Fabaceae.
AUACCUUAUUCGACCUUUUGGCUAAGAUCAAAUGUAGUAUCUGUUCUUAUCAGUAGUUUAAUAUCUGAUUAGUGGCCCAAUGGGUCACAACAGUAUUAAAUUACUUUUUUGAGGGGGAGAGACAAUUUCAAUAGCUUGCUAUUGGAUUUCUGUGUUGCUUAUGUGUUACACUAUUACAUUGGUUGGUGAACCCCAC